UACGGAGGGAGCAAGCGUUACCCGGAAUCACUGGGCGUAAAGGGCGUGUAGGCGGGAUUCUAAGUCUGGCGUUGAAGACUGGAGCUCAACUCCGGAAGUGGGUUGGAGACUGGCAUUCUGGACCUCUGGAGAGAGGACUGGAAUUCCUGGUGUAGCGGUGGAAUUCGUAGAUACCAGGAGGAACACCAGCGGCGAAGGCAGGUUCUUGGACAGAAGGUGACGCUGAGGCGCGAAAGUGUGGGGAGCGAACCGG
Molecule: ribosomal RNA, 253 nt
Filed under: uncultured bacterium
Lineage: Bacteria
Description: partial 16S ribosomal RNA
Rfam family: Bacterial small subunit ribosomal RNA
Source: RNAcentral